GCCAUUAUGUUUCUCUCAUCAUAUAUAUGGUCGUGUUGCACAUACUAUGAUAAGGAUGUCAUAUUUGAGGAGGACGAGGAUGAGGAUGAGGCGUAUUUUUUUGUCGGACAAAGUACACCACGCAAUAGUAAAAAUAUUCUUUCACAAACUUUCUUUCGGUGCAUAAGACAUCAAAAUUUUGUCCGAAGACGACGAGGAAGGAACCGACAUCGAGCAUAAUCUCGACACAGAUGAGCAAGAGAAUAGUGAGCCUGAGGCCCCAGAUCCGUACGACUGGGUCUAUGCUAAUGUUGUCAGAGUCGCACAUACAAGGAGUAAGUAUUACACUUCUGACUCCAUAUGAAAAUAACAUAUGUUAAUCUGCAAGCAACAGGUGCACCAAGAUAGAAAUGACACAUGUGCUUAUUCAAACAAGGUAAAAAAACACAUCAUAAAAGGGAACAUAGUAAAUUUUAUUUCUUUACUAGAUAUAAGUGCAUUGAUACAUUUGAAAUCAC
RNAcentral lists this long non-coding RNA (497 nucleotides) under Sorghum bicolor (sorghum). RNAcentral describes it as "long non-coding RNA (SBIC_LNC016196)". The record is from RNAcentral. Lineage: Eukaryota; Viridiplantae; Streptophyta; Magnoliopsida; Poales; Poaceae.